Molecule: long non-coding RNA, 234 nt
Organism: Entelurus aequoreus (snake pipefish)
Lineage: Eukaryota; Metazoa; Chordata; Actinopteri; Syngnathiformes; Syngnathidae
Exons: 3
Source: RefSeq, a predicted model, not a curated record
CAAGGUUUCCUUCAAACAACAUCUAUUCGUUUCAUUGUACCGGAUUCAUCAGAUUCAAAAUCACUCUGAGGGCUGUUGGCAGCGACUGAGACUGGAGGAAUGGAGUCAAAUCAGAUUAAGGAGCUGAGAUAUAUAGUCUGUGGUGCCACAGUUCAAACACCUGCCGCUUCUCACUCUGCCGUGCGCUCCGCUGAGCACGCCUCGGGACACGCCCACGGGCGUUCCUCUCCUGCA